RNAcentral lists this ribosomal RNA (208 nucleotides) under uncultured bacterium. RNAcentral describes it as "partial 16S ribosomal RNA". It matches the Rfam family "Bacterial small subunit ribosomal RNA", at positions 1285 to 1500 of the family's 1533-position model. The record is from RNAcentral.
GUCUCAGUUCGGAUUGGAGUCUGNAACCCGACUCCAUGAAGCUGGAUUCGCUAGUAAUCGCGCAUCAGCCACGGCGCGGUGAAUACGUUCCCGGGCCUUGUACACACCGCCCGUCAAGCCAUGGGAGCCGGGGGUACCUGAAGUGCGUGACCGCAAGGAGCGCCCUAAGGUAAAACCGGUGACUGGGGCUAAGUCGUAACAAGGUAUC